GUGGGGAAUAUUGCGCAAUGGGGGGAACCCUGACGCAGCCAUGCCGCGUGAAUGAAGAAGGCCUUCGGGUUGUAAAGUUCUUUCGGUGAUGAGGAAGGCAGUUUGGUUAAUAGCCAAGCUGAUUGACGUUAGUCACAGAAGAAGCACCGGCUAACUCCGUGCCAGCAGCCGCGGUAAUACGGAGGGUGCGAGCGUUAAUCGGAAUAACUGGGCGUAAAGGGCACGCAGGCGGAUUUUUAAGUGAGGUGUGAAAGCCCUGGGCUUAACCUGGGAAUUGCAUUUCAGACUGGGAAUCUAGAGUACUUUAGGGAGGGGUAGAAUUCCACGUGUAGCGGUGAAAUGCGUAGAGAUGUGGAGGAAUACCGAAGGCGAAGGCAGCCCCUUGGGAAUGUACUGACGCUCAUGUGCGAAAGCGUGGGGAGCAAACAGG
RNAcentral lists this ribosomal RNA (430 nucleotides) under uncultured bacterium. RNAcentral describes it as "bacterial SSU rRNA". It matches the Rfam family "Bacterial small subunit ribosomal RNA", at positions 354 to 776 of the family's 1533-position model. The record is from RNAcentral.